AGUGAACGCUGGCGGUAGGCCUAACACAUGCAAGUCGAACGGCAGCACACUAAGAGCUUGCUCUUACGGGUGGCGAGUGGCGGACGGGUGGUGAAUACUUCGGAAUCUACUUUUUCGUGGGGGAUAACGUAGUGAAACUUACGCUAAUACCGCAUACGCCCUACCUGUGAAAUCAUGGGAUCUUCGGACCUUGCGCGUUUGAAUGAGCCGAUGUCGGAUUAGCUAGUUGGCGGGGUAGAGGCCCACCAAGGCGACGAUGAGUAGCUGGUCUGGGAGGAGGAUGAGCGACAAUGGAACUGAGACAAGGUGCAGAAGCCUACGGGAGGCAGCAGUGGGGAAGAUUAGAGAAUGGGGGCAAGAAUGAUCCAGCCAUACCGCGGGGGGGAAGAAGGAGUUCGGGUUGUAAAGAACUUUUGUUGGGAAAGAAAAGCAGCAGGUUAAUACGCCGCUGUUCUGACGGUACCCAAAGAAUAAGCACCGGCUAACUUCGUG
Molecule: ribosomal RNA, 492 nt
Filed under: uncultured bacterium
Lineage: Bacteria
Description: partial 16S ribosomal RNA
Rfam family: Bacterial small subunit ribosomal RNA
Source: RNAcentral